This is a non-coding RNA of Oryctolagus cuniculus (rabbit), 1902 nucleotides long. NCBI's taxonomy places the organism in Eukaryota, Metazoa, Chordata, Mammalia, Lagomorpha, Leporidae. The record is from RefSeq and is a predicted model, not a curated record.
CUCUUGUCAUGAGCUGCCAAGGCUAUGGAAGCCGUUUGAGUUCACCAACUCUGAUCUUAUUUAGACAAGGCCACAGUCAAAGUAGAAGUUCUCUCUUCCCUUCAGAGAAAGUAGAAAUUCUUGGAGAAGCAACGACAGUAGAAACAGCACACUAAUGAAAGAGGCAAGCGAGAGUAACCCUAUUCAGAUAGUCAGAGGACAUGAAGUGGCUGAAUGGAUUUUCUAAAAAAAAAUCUCAACUACAAGCUGAUUACAAAAUACUCGCAUUAGCUCCAAGGGCACAAGUGUGCUGCCUUGGAAGAAAUGGAAGAGAUGUUACAUGCAAGUGGAACCCGGAAGAUGCCAGGGGACACUGUCCUUACAUCAGAUAAAAUAGAUUGAGGAAGAGGAAGCUGGGCAGCAGAAGUAAUAGAAAGAUAGACUGCAGGCCAAUUAACGGCUGCUUUACACAGUGAUCUGCCAUCAAGGAGACCCAACUCCAAGUCCACUGUGGAAAGCCAGGGCUUCGGCAGAAGUCAGCUCAUGGAGAGCCCUGGCCGCUCUGCUAGCCAAGUGUUGGGUCACUGGAAAUGAACUGCUCUGGAGUGGGACUCCCAGCUUCCAAGGGUCCCUACAUGUGAGUGAUGGUGUCUUGGAUCCUCACAACUAGCGUCUCUGUCAGCUGAGUGCCUCCUAAUGACCUCAGUCAUCAAAAGUGAUCCCUGCACCAAUUCCUCACCCAUAGAUUUGUAUUUGCUCAUUUGAAAGAGUUACGGAGCAAGAGGAAGAGACGCAGAGAGAGAUCUUCCAUCUGCUGGUUCACUUCCCAAAUGGCUACAACAGCAGGACUGGGCCAGGCUGAAGCUAGGAGCCGGAAGCUUCCUCUGGGUUUACCACAAAGCCCCAGAGCCUGCUUUGAAGGAGAAUAAGAGCCCUGGAGAGGGAGGAAGAUGAAUGGCAAGGCAAGCGUGGACUUCAGGAGGGGAGAUCUCAUUGGGUCGCUCAUUUACUUGUUCAGUACAGUUGCUUUUACUCAAGACGGAGUGAGAGGGCAUUCCUGUGCCAGGUAACCAUGCUUGAGCUUCACGAUUCAGGCAGGAAGCAAAGGAUAUAUGUCCCGGGAAUCAAUUCAAUGUGAUGAUUUGCUAAGUUUUCAUGAAUACUAAAAGGAAAAGGUCUGCUAACAUAAAAACUGCAAUGCAAUGGGGUCUUCGGGGGCUGGGCAUUGGUGAGGUCUACAUUAUCGCUUUUUGAUCCUCCAUUUAUCCUUUUCUGAAUAUGAAUAAACUACACCUUGAGAUUUAGUUUAAAAUUAAGGAAAAUUAAUGAUCCCAUUUGAAAAUCAGGCUCUGCUAUGCUAUUGUUCUUUAAGAAAGUAAAGAAACCUUAUCAACUUUAAUUAGGAGUUCUCAUUCCUUCUCUUUCUCACUCUUAAAUUGUUAUAAUUUUUAAAUUUUAUUACUUAAAUUUUUGGUUAGCAUGUAAGACUUGUAAAUUUCUGUGUGUUACAGAGGAAUAUUUCAACAGAUAAACACAGCAUAAGCUGAUCAAACCAGGCAAGCAACCGCUCCAUCCCCUUUUUCUUUGUGUUUGGAGCCUGCCAGCUCCCCUCCCCCAGGUCUUUAUACAGUGUAAAACACAUGAUGGUGAGCCAUUGUCGCCCCACUGUGCUGCAUAGCAUGAGAACAUGCUACUUCUCCAUUGUUGCCCAUCCUCUGUCCCCAGCCUCUAGUAACCACUAUUUUGCAUUCAGACCGACUAUUCCUUAACUUUCAUUUAUUUAUGAGGAAGAAUUUGUCUUUCUCAGUUUGACUUAUUUCACUGAACAUAAGGAUCUCCAGUUCCACCCAUUUAGCUGCAAAUGUCAGAAUUUCAUUAUUUUUUAAAUAACAAUGAUAUUCUAUUGAGUAAAUAGAACACAUU